This 301-nucleotide ribosomal RNA is filed under the name Hirschmanniella belli. RNAcentral's name for it is "eukaryotic LSU rRNA". It matches the Rfam family "Eukaryotic large subunit ribosomal RNA", at positions 666 to 940 of the family's 3401-position model. Lineage: Eukaryota; Metazoa; Nematoda; Chromadorea; Rhabditida; Pratylenchidae. The record is from RNAcentral.
CCAAGGAGUUUAUCGUGUGCGCAAGUCAUUGGGUGUUCAAAACCCAAAGGCGCAAUGAAAGUAAAUGCAUCCGCAAGGAGCUGACGUGCGAUCCUGGGCAUCGCGGUGCCCGGGCGCAGCAUGGCCCCAUCCCGACUGCAUGCAGUGGGGUGGCGGUAGAGCGUACGCGAUGAGACCCGAAAGAUGGUGAACUAUUCCUGAGCAGGAUGAAGCCAGAGGAAACUCUGGUGGAAGUCCGAAGCGAUUCUGACGUGCAAAUCGAUCGUCUGACUUGGGUAUAGGGGCGAAAGACUAAUCGAAC